GGGGGCCGUGAUGGAUCCCUUCUCCAUCCCCUUUGGGGGGCUGUGAUGGAUCCCCUCUGCACCCCCUUUGGGGGGGCUGUGAUGGAUCCCUCUCCACCCCAUUGGGGAGGCCGUGAUGGAUCCCCUCUCCACCCCUUUGGGGGGGGCUGUGAUGGAUCCCCUCUCCACCCCCAUUGUGGGGGCUGUGAUGGAUCCCUUCUCCAUCCCCAUUGGUGAGGCCAUGAUGGAUCCCCUCUCCACCCCAUUGGGGGGGCUGUGAUGGAUCCCUUCUCCAUCCCCAUUGGUGAGGCCGUGAUGGAUCCCCUCUCCACCCCAUUGGUGAGGCCGUGAUGGAUCCCCUCUCCACCCCAUUGGGGGGGCUGUGAUGGAUCCCCUCUCCCACCCCGUUUGGGGGGGCUGUGAUGGACGGCCGUGCCAUGCCGAGCUCCGAGAAGCUUUGCUGCACUUUAUUGCUGAUCUCAUUGGCUGCACUGACCUGCAAACUCCUCGUGGCUCCAGGCUGGGCUGGACUUCCCUCAAGCACUUUUCCUCCAUCCAUCCAUCCAUGCAUCCAUCCAUCCGUCCAUCUGUCCGUCCGUCCAUCCCCAGCAGCAGCAGUGGGGCCGGGGGCUGCCCGACCCCCUCCCCACCCCCACCCCCCCCCAAGAACUCCGUGCUGUGUUCCUUUCCCAAGGAAGAGUCCAUUCGUUUCAAAGAGGUUUGCUUUGCUCUUUACCCUCCCGUCGCCGUUCUCUCCUCCCUUUUGGGUUCAUCUGCUGGUUUUUCAGUCCUCGCCAGGAGGGUUUUGGGGGGCACAGAGUGGGAGCAUCUCUCCCCACAUUCUCCCUCUGCCCCACAGCUCCCGUUCAGGGCAGGGGCUCAGCUGAGCACGCACAACCCCGAGCUGCCCCCAAAGCCGGGAGCCCACCCAGGACCCCGCUCUAUUAUGGGCACAAGCCCCCUCCCCCCCCCCCCGCCCUCCCGUGCUAUGCUGAUACGGGGCCGUCCUGCAGAGGGCUCUCAGCCCCACUGCUGCCCCAUGGGAGGAUUUGCCUUCGUCUUCUGCCCCUCUCACUGCCCGACCUCCCCCCAUCGAUCGGGCUGGGAAAGAAGGACGAGUGGGGAGGGGGGAGCUGAGGGUGGGGGGCACAGUGAUCCCCUCCCCCCCCCCCCCCCCCCGCUGUGGGUUCAGGACCCGAUCCCGUCCCACCGCCGUGGCCGCCUGCCCCGUCUCGCCCGUCAGGGACGUGUGACUUCACAGCAUAGCAAUGUAUCCUUACGCCAAUAAAGGGUUUCUGUGAUUCACUGCUCUGCCCUCGAGGCUCC
This 1305-nucleotide long non-coding RNA is filed under the name Gallus gallus (chicken). Lineage: Eukaryota; Metazoa; Chordata; Aves; Galliformes; Phasianidae. The record is from RNAcentral.